UACGUAGGGUGCAAGCGUUAAUCGGAAUUACUGGGCGUAAAGCGUGCGCAGGCGGUGAUGUAAGACAGGUGUGAAAUCCCCGGGCUUAACCUGGGAACUGCAUUUGUGACUGCAUCGCUGGAGUGCGGCAGAGGGGGAUGGAAUUCCGCGUGUAGCAGUGAAAUGCGUAGAUAUCUGGAGGAAUACCGGUGGCGAAGGCGGCAUCCUGGACCGAGAUUGACACUGAUGAGCGAAAGCUAGGGGAGCAAACGGG
Molecule: ribosomal RNA, 253 nt
Filed under: uncultured bacterium
Lineage: Bacteria
Description: partial 16S ribosomal RNA
Rfam family: Bacterial small subunit ribosomal RNA
Source: RNAcentral